GGGGGAGAAGCCGCGAGAAACAGUCAUUACGCACGAUUGACGAUUGGUAAGAAUCCACAACAAGUUGUUCUUCAUAGAUGUAUCUGAGGGUCUGUAGCUCAGUUGGUUAGAGCACACGGCUUGAUAAGCGUGGGGUCACAAGUUCAAGUCUUGUCAGACCCACCAUGACUUUGACUGGUUGAAGUUAUAGAUAAAAGAUACAUGAUUGAUGAUGUAAGCUGGGGACUUAGCUUAGUUGGUAGAGCGCCUGCUUUGCACGCAGGAGGUCAGGAGUUCGACUCUCCUAGUCUCCACCAGAACUUAAGAUAAGUUCGGAUUACAGAAAUUAGUAAAUAAAGAUUAAGAUCUUGGUUUAUUAACUUCUGUGUUUCAUUAUCACGGUAAUUAGUGUGAUCUGACGAAGACACAUUAACUCAUUAACAGAUUGGCAAAAUUGAGUCUGAAAUAAAUUGUUCACUCAAGAGUUUAGGUUAAGCAAUUAAUCUAGAUGAAUUGAGAACUAGCAAAUUAACUGAAUCAAGCGUUUUGGUAUGUGAAUUUAGAUUGAAGCUGUACGGUGCUUAAGUGCACAGUGCUCUAAACUGAAAUGUUGAAGUUACUAACUUGUAGGUAACAUCGACUGUUUGGGGUUGUAUAGUCAAGUAAUUAAGUGCAUGUGGUGGAUGCCUUGGCAGUCAGAGGCGAUGAAAGACGUGAUAGCCUGCGAAAAGCUCCGGGGAGGCGGCAAAUAUCCUUUGACGGAGAUUUCUGACGGGGGAACCCCAAACACAAACUCCUUUUUUCACC
Molecule: unclassified non-coding RNA, 786 nt
Filed under: Acinetobacter baumannii
Lineage: Bacteria; Pseudomonadati; Pseudomonadota; Gammaproteobacteria; Moraxellales; Moraxellaceae
Description: partial may contain 16S ribosomal RNA, 16S-23S ribosomal RNA intergenic spacer, and 23S ribosomal RNA
Rfam family: Bacterial large subunit ribosomal RNA (bases 636-786)
Source: RNAcentral